AUGCCUAGGCUUUCAAUAGCUUCUUCCAGCACCUUUUUCGUCCGGCUUUUCCCUAGGCUGUUUGCUAGUCUCUCUCUCCGGUAUUUUCCCAGUUCUUCCCGUUUCUUCCCUCCUAAGUUUGCUAUCCGUCCUAGGUUUCCUAUCCGAGCUAGGUUUCCUAUCCGAGUCAUUUCUUCCCUCCUAAGUUUCCUUAUCCGAGUCACGGCACCAUUAUGUCGCUCCCCCUCUUCGUGGAGGAGCAACACAGGACCCUGCGCUGUUCUUUCGUCUGCUUGGCCCUCCCCGGGUUUGCUGCUGGUUCUUCCCGGGUUGGCUACUAUCCCUUCCACCUCCGUGGAAGGGCAGUUCCCCCUGGCCACAUUCCCCACUUCCGCAGGGGAGCGGCACACCGCCGGCCGGCUCUUCUCGGGGGCUGCACGGGUUCCCUUAGAUGUUCCCCAUAGAUGUUCCUGGUGCAUGCCGUCUCUCUCCUCCUUUAUAGUCCUCCUCCACCAAUCCCAACUCGGCUGCCCACACGCCGAGUACGCUGCUCUCCAAUCAGGAGCAAGUCCUACAGUUAAUUGGUUGAACUGGAGGCAGCUGUGCGGAAGCUGUUUACUUCUCUCCCAGCGCCAUAUUGUGGGAGAGCAGAUGCAUAGAAUAAGUCUUAAUUCCAGUAACUCAGUCUAGUCCGGUUGCUCCCCACAGAAAAGGACAUGAGGGAGCUUGGAGAGGCUGUUUUAGAUGUAGUGAGGGAUGAGAUCAUGAGACAUCCGCUCAAGUAGCAGGUGAAAAACUUCACAUGGACUUGAAAAAAAAGUUAGUCUAUCAAGAUCACUUGCUGAGAACCUCUUGGAGACAAUAGGAUUCAAAAUUCUCCUUGAUUUUCUGUUAGCAUUUCUUUCCCUGUUCUGAGAAUUCAUAGAUAGAAAUUCAUUUAUGGUGAGGCAUUAUGGCAAACAGUAUUUACACCUGCCAAGAGAUUGAAUUUAUGAGAAAAAUAGUGGGCAAUCCUUAUAGCAGUGCUGAUGAUCCUCUGAAAACUAACCAAUCAACUGGUAAUUUUAAUAUCCAAAUUAAAAAUUCUCAUGUCUUUUGUCUCUGUUUAUUUCUAUGUAUAAUUUAUUAAAUUUAUGAUGCUUUUUAUGAUUCAUUUAUUUAUUUGAAAGGAUUAUAGAGAGAAAGACAGACAGAGAGAAAUCUUCCUUACACUGGUUCACUCCCCAAAUAGCUGCAAUGGCCAGGGCUGGGGCAGGCUGAAGGCAGAAGCCAGGAAUUUCAUCCUGUCUUCCUCAAGGGUGGCAGGGGACUAAGCAUUUGGGCCACCUUAUACUGUUUUUCCAGGCACAGUAGCAGGGAGCAAGAUAGGAAGUGGAGCAGCCAGGAUUAGAACCAGUACCCUUAUGUGAUGCAGACAGCAUCUUAACCCACUAUGCCACAAUGACAGCCCCUCAAUUUAUGAUAUAUUACCAAGCAUUAUCAUACUAUGAUGUAUGAAUUCACUAAUUAUUACCCUCAUUCAUCUAUUAAAUAGAACAUUGUUUACAAUAUUGUUGAUAUUGUGCAUGCUCUCUUAGAUACAAAAAUGAGUGGCUAGAUGUCUUAUUACAUGAAGCUUUGGCUCCUGUUGCUCUUUGUUUUGAGAUUUAUUUCUUGUCUUUUUUCUAUAGUAAAUUACCUAGGUUUUUUUUUUUGUUUGUUUGUUUGUUUGUUUGUUUUUGUAGGAGUAAACCCAAGUAUCAUUACUUGCUUAUGUGACUGGGUCUUUCUUAUGUGGUAUAAAUCUAGGACUACUAUUCAAAAACCAAGUGGCUAUAAAUUAAUUUCACUUGUCUGAAGUAUAAAAAGGAAUGAAUGAAUGAGACAGCACAUACUGUUUAGGUGGUUAAUUGCCUGUUAUAUGCUAUAUGAACAAACUGAUAACAAAGCACAUUGAGGUAAGCAAAAUUAACACCAAGGAAAGAGCAAGUACCUCAAAAUCAAAGGACUUGGGAAAGCCUCUCAGGGGAGGAGAUUAGGUUGACCAUGAGAAAACAUGAAAAGUUAGGAAUCAAUUGUUGAAAUAAGAGUGAAAAAUAUAUAAGCAGAGAAAGAGUUUUAAAAUACUUUUCUUGCUAACAUAUUUAGUAAACCAGACUUCAGUAAUUUUAAAUCUGUAUUUCUAAGCAAUUCAUAUGAACCACCAGUGAAUUAACUAAACCUAGGUUAAAUGAAGGGUAGCUCCAUUAAUUGAGAAUGUUAACUCUAUUCCUGAUAGAGCAUAUGUAUACUGAGCUUAGAUAGAAACAUGACAGAUAAAAAUGUGGAAGAUAAAAAAUGAUAGGUAGAUAGAUAGAUAAAUGAACAAUAACACACAGAAAAAUUUUUAAUACAUAUAUAAAUUUUACCUUUAGGAGAUAGAAAUUCAGAAAAGCUAAGGUAGUUGACUAGAUUCCUAGACAGUACAUGACCUCAUGAAGGCUUUUGUUACUUAAAAUAAAUUUCACUAGAAAUAUACUUAUCUAAAUAUU
This is a long non-coding RNA of Oryctolagus cuniculus (rabbit), 2489 nucleotides long. NCBI's taxonomy places the organism in Eukaryota, Metazoa, Chordata, Mammalia, Lagomorpha, Leporidae. The record is from Ensembl.